UGUUGGAACAAAAUUGAUUUAAAAAAUGUUUGCCCCUAAAUCUAUAAAGGUUUUGAUGAUAACAAAGUAUUAAUAAACAAUUGGAAGGACUAAAAAUUUAUUUUAAGUGCGCAGAUAUAAGCAUCAUAUAAGCUCUGAGUGAAGUUCAGAAGAUGUGAACUCAGAAGUUCACAAGCGCUUAGAAGAUGUUGGACUUCAGAGGUUACAACGUUCAGAGGAUGAAGACUUCAGAACUUCUUGUCUGUCUACAAGCUUCAUCAAACUCUGAAGAUCUCUUUGUAAGAGGUGAAGAUUCUCUUUUCCAGUCAACUCUUCUACCAAUGAAGAAAAGGACCUUUCAAGCCUGAUCAGUUCAGCUACCUCUGUUUUGUCUGUCCUAUCUUGAGAACGUGGGUCUUCAGUUUUGUUAGCUGAAUAAGGAAAGUCCACUCUGCAGUAGUCAAAGUAACUGAAACUCUUUCUUAGUUUUGGAUACAACCAAACUGCAUCAAGACAGACUGCUUGAAAACAAAAGAUUAUCAACUCCAACGGUUCUUUUUGCAACGACUCUUUUCU
Molecule: long non-coding RNA, 555 nt
Filed under: Trifolium pratense (red clover)
Lineage: Eukaryota; Viridiplantae; Streptophyta; Magnoliopsida; Fabales; Fabaceae
Description: long non-coding RNA (TPRA_LNC013761)
Source: RNAcentral